Molecule: ribosomal RNA, 253 nt
Filed under: uncultured bacterium
Lineage: Bacteria
Description: partial 16S ribosomal RNA
Rfam family: Bacterial small subunit ribosomal RNA
Source: RNAcentral
UACAGAGGGUGCGAGCGUUGUUCGGAAUUAUUGGGCGUAAAGGGCGCGUAGGCGGUGCGGUAAGUCACCUGUGAAAUCUCCUGGCUCAACUGGGAGCUUGCAGGCGAAACUGCCGUGCUGGAGUGUGGGAGAGGUGCGUGGAAUUCCCGGUGUAGCGGUGAAAUGCGCAGAUAUCAGGAGGAACACCGGUGGCGAAGGCGGAUCUCUGGGCCAUUACUGACGCUGAGGAGCGAAAGCGUGGGGAGCGAACAGG